Molecule: unclassified non-coding RNA, 137 nt
Filed under: uncultured Ascomycota
Lineage: Eukaryota; Fungi; Ascomycota
Description: sequence contains ITS1
Source: RNAcentral
CAGAGUUGCAAAACUCCCAACCAUUGUGAACGAACCCGUUACAGUUGCUUCGGCGGAUGGUGCGCUGAAACCGCCCGCCGACAGCAUGCAAACCUCUGAAUUACAGUGGAUCUCUGAGUAGCUUAUUUAAUAAGUCA